UCCCUGGCGGUCCAGUGGUUGGGACUCUGCACUUUCACUGCCGAGGACCCAGGUUCAAUCCUUGUUCAGGGAA
Bos taurus (domestic cattle) is the source of this 73-nucleotide non-coding RNA. Lineage: Eukaryota; Metazoa; Chordata; Mammalia; Artiodactyla; Bovidae. The record is from Rfam.